CAGCAGCAUGGGGUUGGCGCCAUUGAGGAACUGGCCCUGACCAUUUACCACCAUUCUUGGAUCUCCCAGCCCUUUUUCCACUCUGAGCUCCAGGCUUUUUCUCACCCUGCCUUCAUUGUCCACUCGAAGUCCCGUCUCUUCUCCUCGUGGAAUCUCAUAUUUGGAGGUAGUGUCUUGGGCCCUUUAGGCAAUUUACCCACUCCUCUUCCACCAGCUCUGCAUUCCAAAGGAGUAUUGGGGUGGGAGUGGGAGAUGGGAGGAUGUGGCAGGGAAGGGAGAGCCUUUGUGGGCCCUCAAAAGGAUGCUGGAGAGGUGACAUUCAAGGCUCAGGGAACAGUCAAAGACACUUUGCUCCCAGGGAGCUAUGUCCAUUCAGAGAGAAAAAAACUGUCAGAUUCUUGCCCCUUUGCUGCCUGUGCUCUUCCUCCCGCCUCUGCCAACCCAGUCCUAGCAGGUAUGCCCAAGUUAGCCCAAAGAGACUGCUCAGAUUUCUGUGGGUUCAUAGAGUCAUCUGCAAUCAUGAAUACACUCCUGGGAGUGGUUGGUUUGGGUUGUUUGAAAAAUCCGUUCUGCCCCAUAUACAGUUUCCUGCAGCUUGCUUUUCUCACUUAAGAAAUACAUCUCAUGGAAAUCUCUGUAGUUCAAUAGUUACACAGUAGUCCCCCCUUAUCUGCGGUUUCACUUUCCAUGGUUUCGGUUGCCUGCAGUCAACCGUGG
This is a non-coding RNA of Ceratotherium simum simum (southern white rhinoceros), 717 nucleotides long. The record is from RefSeq and is a predicted model, not a curated record. Lineage: Eukaryota; Metazoa; Chordata; Mammalia; Perissodactyla; Rhinocerotidae.